AAUCAGGCUCCUGGUCCCACCCCACACUCAGGAGCAGAGCAUGUGCAAACGGGAGCCCGCACCCCUGCUCCCAGACCGCAUCAGGCCCCCAUCCCAAGGCCAGGGGCAGGCCCAAAUGUACCUCGGGCAUCCCAGAAGGAGCAUCUUUCUGAGGCAGAUCAUUCUUUCUGGAAAUGUGGGAACGGAGGACAGGCUCAGGGAGGUGACCGGACAGGAAGCCUUAGGGAUGUCCUGCCAGGCUGGGGGAUCUCUGAGAGAAUGGCCUUUGGUGCCCCAGGCUCAAUAGUGAAAAAACCAUUGAAAGCGGGGCAGGGGGUGGAUCAUGGAGGCGUCUGAAGGAUCCUGAGGUCAGCCCCCACAGGAGGUCCCAGGCUGGUGGUCAGAAGAGAGUCCCAGAUCUUUCACAAGCCACAGUUAAACAGAGAAAAUGACCCCACAGGCCACAGUGGGAGGAGCAGGGACAAGCACACAAAGACAAUUGACUGGAAGGUAAAAAAGUGGAUGCUGCCCACAGAAGGGGAUCCCUGGACCAGCAGUGAAGGGACCCACCGUGAUCGUGGUGAUCUGCUGAGGAUGUGCCGCCACUUGGCUGCAGGCUUCUUUCUUUACAUUUUAAGAUAAGGGGAUGGACUAGGUGAGCCCCAGCGUCCCUUCAGACCCAUUGGCCAUGAACCCAUGCCAAUGCCUAUCCCACCCAUUCUCCAAAAAAAAAAAGGAUUUACUCAUCUGUAUUCUGUAAAAAAAAAAAGAAAGAAAGAAAGAAAGAAAGAAAGAAAGAAAGAAAGAAAGAAAAAGAAAAGAAAAAAAGAAAAAAGAAAAGGGUCUCUCUUCCAGCCCCGCUGCCUUCCGGUCUGGCACAGGUUCAGGGCAAGUGCCGAAGCCUGGAUGUGUGCUGGGAAACAGGCUGCUGCACAGUCCCCUGGCAUCUUUGAAGAUGGGAUCAGACCACACCCCACCUGCUUCGUCCCACCCCACCCUGCUCCACCCGACAGAGUGAGCACCUGUGCCCUCCGCAACUGCCUGCAAGAAUUCAAGUCCAGGACCAACGCUGAGCAGAGAUCAGUUCAACUGUAUUACUUCAAGUUCGUGACCUGCUGUCAAAGUGGAGCUUCUUUGCAAAUGUCUUUGCAAAUGUUUUUCUCCUCUGAGCCCUGGGUCCUAAACCCUCAUAGCUCCUUUCUUCCAACUGGCCAAGUUGGACUAGCAAACCUCCAAAGGAUGGGUAUGACUAAACACGUGCAUUGCCUGCAACUGUUGAAGCCAGUGAAUAAAAUGGGUUCAAUUGCUCUGGCUAAGGACAGGGUGGAAAUUUGGGGCAGGGUGGGGAAUGUGAAAAUGAACAAGAUAAUUAUUUUAGUGUCUUUUAUAGAUCGCAUGCCACUUUGUUAGCUUAGGAGCAUUAAAAAUGUAUAACAUAGGGCUUGUUCUGCUCAUAAAAUGAUCCUCUUUGGCAUAUUAAAAUUUAAAGUAUAGUUUAUUCACGCAGUAAUUACACUUUUACUAAUUGAAUUUACCUUUAAAUAUUUCAAAGUUUUGUAAUAAAUCGAGCUACAAGAUACUGAGCCUCA
Molecule: long non-coding RNA, 1568 nt
Filed under: Vulpes vulpes (red fox)
Lineage: Eukaryota; Metazoa; Chordata; Mammalia; Carnivora; Canidae
Description: lncRNA (ENSVVUG00000025214.1)
Source: RNAcentral